AUGCCCAGGAGGGAGGGGCCUGGACACAUCUCUGCCCUAGAGGAGGUGGCAACCGACAAGCUGAAGGAAAGGCUGGUUCCAGCUGUGCUCUGCUUCCUCCUCGCCCUUCUCCUGGGCACAUUCCCAGGUGCCAGGCCUCAGACCAUUCAUCAGUGGCCAGUGACCAGUGUGCAACUUCUGGGCAGCCCUCUCUGUCUGGAGUGCACUGUGAAGGGGACAUCAAACCUCUACCUCUACUGGUACCGGCAGGCCACAGGAGGCCCCCCCCAGUUGCUUUUCUAUUCCUUUGGUGUUAACCAGAUAGAGUCUGAGGGACCCCAGAACCUCUCAGCCUCUAGGUCCCAUGAAGGCCAGUUCCUACUGAGUUUUAAGAAGCUUCUCCUCAGCGACUCUGGCUUCUAUCUAUGUGCCUGGAGUAGCAAACUGAACUGGGCAGGGCUGACAUCUGUGCAAAAACUCCACCCUCCCCAGGAACCCUCACUCAGGGACUGGGUGGAGGAUAUUUGUGACUGA
This is a non-coding RNA of Nycticebus coucang (slow loris), 513 nucleotides long. NCBI's taxonomy places the organism in Eukaryota, Metazoa, Chordata, Mammalia, Primates, Lorisidae. The record is from the annotation of a RefSeq genome assembly.